This is a long non-coding RNA of Triticum aestivum (bread wheat), 290 nucleotides long. RefSeq lists it as uncharacterized. The record is from RefSeq and is a predicted model, not a curated record. The transcript has 2 exons. NCBI's taxonomy places the organism in Eukaryota, Viridiplantae, Streptophyta, Magnoliopsida, Poales, Poaceae.
CUAGGCUUCCCAUAUCGUCUUGUUCCCCCACCCUCCAACUCCUCCAAGCGAUUGCCUCUCCCUCACGCCGCGUCCCAUGCUCUGCGAAAUAGAGGUUGUUCUGUGGAGCGCGCGUGCUUGCGGCAAUGGGCAGAUCCGGUUCCGGAGGAGGCCCAAGGGGAGGAUCUACGGCGGCAGUGUUUAAGGAGGUUUGCCGUCACGUGCACCAGGAGCCCGAUUUGGGUCGAUUUUACUUGCUAAUGCUAUAAUAUAUCGUCAGCAAGCUUGUAACCAAGAGCGACUUGGCCGCA